Molecule: ribosomal RNA, 253 nt
Filed under: uncultured bacterium
Lineage: Bacteria
Description: partial 16S ribosomal RNA
Rfam family: Bacterial small subunit ribosomal RNA
Source: RNAcentral
UACGAAGGGGGCUAGCGUUGCUCGGAAUGACUGGGCGUAAAGGGCGCGUAGGCGGUUUGUACAGUCAGGUGUGAAAUUCCCGGGCUCAACCUGGGGGCUGCACUUGAUAUGUAGGAACUGGAGUGGGGAAGAGGGUCGUGGAAUUCCCGGUGUAGUGGUGAAAUGCGUAGAUAUCGGGAGGAACACCAGUGGCGAAGGCGGUUAGCUGGCCUGUAACUGACACUGAGGCGCGAAGGCUAGGGGAGCGAACAGG